This 1419-nucleotide ribosomal RNA is filed under the name Microbacterium aurantiacum. RNAcentral describes it as "bacterial SSU rRNA". The record is from RNAcentral. Lineage: Bacteria; Bacillati; Actinomycetota; Actinomycetes; Micrococcales; Microbacteriaceae.
GGCUGGCGGGUGCUUACCAUGCAGUCGACGGUGAAGCCAAGCUUGCUUGGUGGAUCAGUGGCGAACGGGUGAGUAACACGUGAGCAACCUGCCCUGAACUCUGGGAUAAGCGCUGGAAACGGCGUCUAAUACUGGAUAUGAGCUGCGGAGGCAUCUUCGUGGUUGGAAAGAUUUUUCGGUUUGGGAUGGGCUCGCGGCCUAUCAGCUUGUUGGUGAGGUAAUGGCUCACCAAGGCGUCGACGGGUAGCCGGCCUGAGAGGGUGACCGGCCACACUGGGACUGAGACACGGCCCAGACUCCUACGGGAGGCAGCAGUGGGGAAUAUUGCACAAUGGGCGGAAGCCUGAUGCAGCAACGCCGCGUGAGGGAUGACGGCCUUCGGGUUGUAAACCUCUUUUAGCAGGGAAGAAGCGAAAGUGACGGUACCUGCAGAAAAAGCGCCGGCUAACUACGUGCCAGCAGCCGCGGUAAUACGUAGGGCGCAAGCGUUAUCCGGAAUUAUUGGGCGUAAAGAGCUCGUAGGCGGUUUGUCGCGUCUGCUGUGAAAUCUGGAGGCUCAACCUCSRGCCUGCAGUGGGUACGGGCAGACUAGAGUGCGGUAGGGGAGAUUGGAAUUCCUGGUGUAGCGGUGGAAUGCGCAGAUAUCAGGAGGAACACCGAUGGCGAAGGCAGAUCUCUGGGCCGUAACUGACGCUGAGGAGCGAAAGGGUGGGGAGCAAACAGGCUUAGAUACCCUGGUAGUCCACCCCGUAAACGUUGGGAACUAGUUGUGGGGUCCAUUCCACGGAUUCCGUGACGCAGCUAACGCAUUAAGUUCCCCGCCUGGGGAGUACGGCCGCAAGGCUAAAACUCAAAGGAAUUGACGGGGACCCGCACAAGCGGCGGAGCAUGCGGAUUAAUUCGAUGCAACGCGAAGAACCUUACCAAGGCUUGACAUACACGAGAACGCUGCAGAAAUGUAGAACUCUUUGGACACUCGUGAACAGGUGGUGCAUGGUUGUCGUCAGCUCGUGUCGUGAGAUGUUGGGUUAAGUCCCGCAACGAGCGCAACCCUCGUUCUAUGUUGCCAGCACGUAAUGGUGGGAACUCAUGGGAUACUGCCGGGGUCAACUCGGAGGAAGGUGGGGAUGACGUCAAAUCAUCAUGCCCCUUAUGUCUUGGGCUUCACGCAUGCUACAAUGGCCGGUACAAAGGGCUGCAAUACCGCGAGGUGGAGCGAAUCCCAAAAAGCCGGUCCCAGUUCGGAUUGAGGUCUGCAACUCGACCUCAUGAAGUCGGAGUCGCUAGUAAUCGCAGAUCAGCAACGCUGCGGUGAAUACGUUCCCGGGUCUUGUACACACCGCCCGUCAAGUCAUGAAAGUCGGUAACACCUGAAGCCGGUGGCCCAACCCUUGUGGAGGAGCCGUCGAAGUGAUCGUA